AGAGUUUGAUCAUGGCUCAGAUUGAACGCUGGCGGCAUGCCUUACACAUGCAAGUCGAGCGGCAGCGCGGGGGCAACCCUGGCGGCGAGCGGCGAACGGGUGAGUAAUGCAUCGGAACGUGUCCUCUUGUGGGGGAUAACCAGUCGAAAGACUGGCUAAUACCGCAUGAGAUCGAGAGAUGAAAGCGGGGGACCGCAAGGCCUCGCGCGAGAGGAGCGGCCGAUGCCGGAUUAGCUAGUUGGCGGGGUAACGGCCCACCAAGGCGACGAUCCGUAGCUGGUCUGAGAGGACGACCAGCCACACUGGGACUGAGACACGGCCCAGACUCCUACGGGAGGCAGCAGUGGGGAAUUUUGGACAAUGGGCGCAAGCCUGAUCCAGCCAUGCCGCGUGUGUGAAGAAGGCCUUCGGGUUGUAAAGCACUUUCGGCCGGAACGAAAUCGCCCGUGUUAACAGCGCGGGUGGAUGACGGUACCGGAAGAAGAAGCACCGGCUAACUACGUGCCAGCAGCCGCGGUAAUACGUAGGGUGCGAGCGUUAAUCGGGAUUACUGGGCGUAAAGUGUGCGCAGGCGGCCGCGCAAGUCGAGUGUGAAAUCCCCGAGCUUAACUUGGGAAUUGCGCUCGAAACUACGUGGCUCGAGUGUGGCAGAGGAAGGUGGAAUUCCACGUAGCGGUGAAAUGCGUAGAGAUGUGGAGGAACACCGAUGGCGAAGGCAGCCUUCUGGGCCAACACUGACGCUCAUGCACGAAAGCGUGGGGAGCAAACAGGAUUAGAUACCCUAGUAGUCC
Molecule: ribosomal RNA, 791 nt
Filed under: uncultured bacterium
Lineage: Bacteria
Description: bacterial SSU rRNA
Rfam family: Bacterial small subunit ribosomal RNA
Source: RNAcentral